GAUGAACGCUGGCGGCGUGCCUAAUACAUGCAAGUCGAGCGAACAGACGAGGAGCUUGCUCCUCUGACGUUAGCGGCGGACGGGUGAGUAACACGUGGAUAACCUACCUAUAAGACUGGGAUAACUUCGGGAAACCGGAGCUAAUACCGGAUAAUAUAUUGAACCGCAUGGUUCAAUAGUGAAAGACGGUUUUGCUGUCACUUAUAGAUGGAUCCGCGCCGCAUUAGCUAGUUGGUAAGGUAACGGCUUACCAAGGCAACGAUGCGUAGCCGACCUGAGAGGGUGAUCGGCCACACUGGAACUGAGACACGGUCCAGACUCCUACGGGAGGCAGCAGUAAGGAAUCUUCCGCAAUGGGCGAAAGCCUGACGGAGCAACGACGCGUGAGUGAUGAAGGUCUUCGGAUCGUAAAACUCUGUUAUUAGGGAAGAACAAAUGUGUAAGUAACUAUGCACGUCUUGACGGUACCUAAUCAGAAAGCCACGGCUAACUACGUG
RNAcentral lists this ribosomal RNA (497 nucleotides) under uncultured bacterium. Its description in RNAcentral is "partial 16S ribosomal RNA". It matches the Rfam family "Bacterial small subunit ribosomal RNA", at positions 28 to 507 of the family's 1533-position model. The record is from RNAcentral.